UGCAGCAAUAGGUCUUUUGUGUCUGGCCAAUGGGCAGCCCUGUUGAAGAUCUGAGAGUUAUGAGCAUCUACUGCCCUACAAUUCUUACAAUGGAUGCUUGGAAAUGAAAAGAAUUGUGGUCUUUACCUUUUAGAAUGUCACUUUGGUUUUGGGGUACAUGAGCAGAGCAUGCAAGACAGUUGCGUAGGAACACAAUCUUUCUAAAUUUAAAAUCCACAGGAGUUGCAAGCCAAUCCUUGGUUACGUGAUAAAAUAAAGAUGAAAACGUCUAUGGAAGAUACAUACAGUCUUUCAUCCCAAGUGAGUAAAGAAUCUUCUCAAGUUAAAUAUGGGUAUAGAUAUAUCUGAGCAUUGUUAUAAUAUGAAAGAAUCACUAUUCUGUAACUUCCUUUAAAAAACACUUCAUUAAGAUUUUAAUUUCUUAAAGUUGUUCUUUGAUAGCUCCUUUAAAGAAGUAAGGAACUAUUUAAGAUGAUUUGAUCAUACUUAGAAGAAAAGUGAAAAUAAAGGUUUAUGUAUUUUUAUAUGAAGAGUAUAUGCAUAUGUAUAUGUUGUAUGCAUGUACAUGUAAAAACACACAUAUUAGAAAUAAGUGUUGAAAUGAAAUAAGCCAGAGUACCAAAAUAAUUGUAAUUGAGUAGAUUUCUUCCACUCAAAUUGAAGCAGAUUCCAGUAAUUUUUCUUUCUUCUAUUUCACACAUUUAUUUUGGUAUUGGAUUAUAUUGGUUUUAUAUUUUUUAAAUUAUGUAAAGAUUUUUUAAUUAUCUUUGGUAGAAAAAAAUGCUGGCUUAAGCUAUUUCCUCACAUAAGUGCAGAGUGUUCUGGCAAACUUUAUAGCUUGAGCCUGUCAGAGUAACUUUUGACAUUAAGGACUAAGAUUAACCAGUGUUCCUGCUUGUGACCCAUUAUAUCCCUCUGCUCAUUAUAGAUACUAUACUAUGUUCCAGGUUUGUGGAGCUUCUGUUUCUUUAGUGUUUCUGUUCUGGUUCUGUUACUAACCAACCCUGUGGCCACAUAAGCUUAUGGAGUUCCCAUUGUUCAUUUAUAGCAUUAUGGAAGUGGAGUUCCCAUUGUUCAUUUAUAGAAUUAUGGAAGUAGACUAGAUUACCUAAGACCCAGUCCAAUGUCAACAUUAUAUAAUUAUAUUGUUUAACAAUGCUUACUUUGGAUUUCAACAAAUAUCAGUAUGUUUCCCUAGAAUAUUCAUCUAGAUAAUUGCUAAUCUUCAAUUUUAA
Molecule: long non-coding RNA, 1235 nt
Filed under: Callithrix jacchus (white-tufted-ear marmoset)
Lineage: Eukaryota; Metazoa; Chordata; Mammalia; Primates; Cebidae
Description: lncRNA (ENSCJAG00000070230.1)
Source: RNAcentral